This 593-nucleotide ribosomal RNA is filed under the name Xylaria badia. RNAcentral describes it as "LSU rRNA". It matches the Rfam family "Eukaryotic large subunit ribosomal RNA", at positions 50 to 667 of the family's 3401-position model. Lineage: Eukaryota; Fungi; Ascomycota; Sordariomycetes; Xylariales; Xylariaceae. The record is from RNAcentral.
UUUUAACAAAACACACCACAGGGUAUUGCCCUAGUAACGGCGAGUGAAGCGGCAACAGCUCAAAUUUGAAAUCUGGCCCUCGGGUCCGAGUUGUAAUUUGUAGAGGAUGCUUUUGGCGCGGUGCCUUCCGAGUUCCCUGGAACGGGACGCCUUAGAGGGUGAGAGCCCCGUACGGUUGGACACCAAGCCUCUGUAAAGCUCCUUCGACGAGUCGAGUAGUUUGGGAAUGCUGCUCUAAAUGGGAGGUAAAUUUCUUCUAAAGCUAAAUAUUGGCCAGAGACCGAUAGCGCACAAGUAGAGUGAUCGAAAGAUGAAAAGCACUUUGAAAAGAGGGUUAAAUAGCACGUGAAAUUGUUGAAAGGGAAGCGUUUGCGACCAGACCUUUUCCUAGCGGAUCAUCCGGUGUUCUCACCGGUGCACUUCGCUAGGUUUAGGCCAGCAUCGGUUUCCACAGGGGGAUAAAAGCUCUGGGAAUGUAGCUCCUCCGGGAGUGUUAUAGCCCUCUGCAUAAUACCCUUGCGGGGACCGAGGACCGCGCUUCGGCAAGGAUGCUGGCGUAAUGGUCGUCAACGACCCGUCUUGAACCACGGACC